Megalobrama amblycephala (Wuchang bream) is the source of this 1757-nucleotide long non-coding RNA. RefSeq lists it as uncharacterized. The transcript has 2 exons. The record is from RefSeq and is a predicted model, not a curated record. NCBI's taxonomy places the organism in Eukaryota, Metazoa, Chordata, Actinopteri, Cypriniformes, Xenocyprididae.
GAAAAAAAAGAGAGAAAAGUUCCAGAAGGAAAACUGUUUUGUCCAAUCACGGCUCUCAUUUCAGUGACUGACUGUCCUAAGAGCCAAUGUUAGCAGCACUCUCAUAAGGCCCGCCCACAGGCUGCGCCGGCGCUGUUGCACUGCGUGAGAGGCAGAGAGAGAGAGAACGAGUCUGACGAAGUAGAGACCCUCCGUAAAAGCUUUUAAUAUAGAGAGAAAAGAGAUUAAAUGCAAUAAAUAGAUCAUAUUUCUGAACGGAUGUGGCCACAUGAAGCUGUCAUCGGGGUGAGAAGUCGACGAGGCACCAACGGAGAAUCGGAGUGUUGCAAAUGAGCUUGUUUCUUUGAAUAUAUGUGAAGUUAUUGCCUUGGUGAGUCUCAUUCUAAGUCAUAUCAUAUUAUGUGAGAAAAGAGUCACUAACUCAAUAAGUAAAUUGAUAUGAGAAGUGACUUAUAUAUAUGCCGAUUUAUAUGCGCUGUAGUAAUAGCACAAGGGCUACUCGAGUGCUAACGAGCUAAUGAGAUGUCAUGAAAUGUGACGAUUAAGUGUCAAUAAGUUCAAAAAGUGUUGAAAUGAUGAGUUAAUGUAUUAUUUGAAGUGUAUACAAGAUAUUUGCUGUUGAUGUUUGAAUUUGAUAUUAAUUGUUUUGCUUUGUUUAUGCAAGGCUAGGUUUUUUUCCUAUGUUUAUUUCUACGUGAUCUCCUGCGAGAGUUUACUGUUUUGUGCCAUAUUUAUGGUGCGUUCAAGUCAUGUCGGAAAGAUCGUAUUUACGAGCAGAACCGACAUGAACGAGACCACAAUGUCGUAAAUACCAGUGGGAAGCUCGUAAUUUUCUUUAAGCUCCGAUCUGUACGAGUUGGGGGCGUGUCAGUCAGAAACAUAGUGAAAUACCACAAUACUUACAGGUAUUUAGCAGUGACAUUGUCAGGCUUUUCUGUUUGCAAUGAAGUAAGCUGAUUACCAGUAAAAAAAAAAAUACGAAUGCAUCACAAUAUAAAAAUGUAAUAUGUAACAAUAAAGUUUACAAUGGCUUCAUAAAUUAAUAAUAAAAAAAAAAAAGCAACAUACAACUAAUGCACAUUCUUUGCUCUACAUUUUUUAGAAGCAGAAGUGUUGUUAUUUUGUGUAAUUAAUUUAGAGAAGGCACACCGCCAUCAUACUCAGACAAAAGUGACUUGAACGUACAGUCGUACACACGACUUCCCACCUCGUAAAUACGAACUUCCCAGGAGGACUUGGACGCACAAUUAAUCCUUUUGGAGAAGAAUUGUCUGUGUAUCAGACGCAAUUAAAUGUGCACAAUGGUGAGCUACCCAUGGACCUGGUUCCACUUUGAACUGCUUUGAAAUCAUCAACUGUGAUAGUCCCUAAGACAGUUCUUUUCAUUUGAGAAGCACAGGCGAACAUGCACUUGAUACAGUGUAUUUGUGUAUCCAUUAUUGCAGUGUCUGCAGCAUCCUCUCUUCGUUUUUACUGGUAAAUGUGCAGUCAUGUCUUUGUGUACAUCCAGACGGGGUGGUCCGAUGACAUCUUGGCAUUCUGAAAUGGAAAAAGUUAAAAAAAAAAUGUGUAUAAAUGUGUAAAAAAAAGGGAAUAAUACAUAUGGGUCUUAUAUUGUAGUAGAUAAACUGAAAAAAUAGACAGGGUGGUAGACCAUGUGUUGAGGGUAGAGAUCUAAGAAUUAUCCAUCAAAGUAUUAUAAUUUCAAUGCAAAUGCUAAUCAAAAUUCUAAUCAAAAUACUGUCUGGAUCACCUAU